GGGGAAUAUUGCACAAUGGGCGAAAGCCUGAUGCAGCCAUGCCGCGUGUAUGAAGAAGGCCUUCGGGUUGUAAAGUACUUUCAGCGAGGAGGAAGGCAUUGUGGUUAAUAACCGCAGUGAUUGACGUUACUCGCAGAAGAAGCACAGGCUAACUCCGUGCCAGCAGCCGCGGUAAUACGGAGGGUGCAAGCGUUAAUCGGGAUUACUGGGCGUAAAGCGCACGCAGGCGGUCUGUCAAGUCGGAUGUGAAAUCCCCGGGCUCAACCUGGGAACUGCAUUCGAAACUGGCAGGCUAGAGUCUUGUAGAGGGGGGUAGAAUUCCAGGUGUAGCGGUGAAAUGCGUAGAGAUCUGGAGGAAUACCGGUGGCGAAGGCGGCCCCCUGGACAAAGACUGACGCUCAGGUGCGAAAGCGUGGGGAGCAAAC
This 425-nucleotide ribosomal RNA is filed under the name uncultured bacterium. RNAcentral's name for it is "bacterial SSU rRNA". It matches the Rfam family "Bacterial small subunit ribosomal RNA", at positions 356 to 773 of the family's 1533-position model. The record is from RNAcentral.